This 121-nucleotide non-coding RNA is filed under the name Palpitomonas bilix. The record is from RNAcentral.
AAAAAGAACAAAAAAAAAGAAACAAGAAAAGGAAGAUCCUGAUUUCCCACAUUGCCACCCUUUUUGGCUGAACUCGCUUCUUCAUCUUUCUUUCUCACAUUUCCCUGUUGCCACUUUUCUC